This 1539-nucleotide long non-coding RNA is filed under the name Coturnix japonica (Japanese quail). RNAcentral describes it as "lncRNA (ENSCJPG00005016795.1)". Lineage: Eukaryota; Metazoa; Chordata; Aves; Galliformes; Phasianidae. The record is from RNAcentral.
UUCCGUUCUGCUGACUUGAAAACACAUGUAUGCAGGAGGGGAGAGAAAAGAAGAGCAAAGACCAAAAAAUAUGACUUCCUCUUCAGGUGUUGACUUUUACUUGCAGCCUCACUGCUAGAAAAAGACAAGUACAACACAUGGACUUAUCAGCCCCUCUAAGAUCAAGGGGAUUUAUACCAGCGACUGUCUCAUUUAGACAUAGCUUUUAGUUGUCUCCUUGAUUGCAGUUCAGAGCAGUGUUCUACAACCUGUACUCUCCUAUCUAGGAUAGUUUGAUUAAAAGGAAGGUAAAAGAAAGAAAAGGCAGAGAGGCAUGUAAAAAGACUACAGAGCUUCUGAGAGCAGGGUGACUUCAAGACCCCAAGUCUUCCCUUCCAAGUGGAUUUCCAGGACUGCACUGAAAUUGGUAGACAGAAAGAUGACUUCCAGGUAUCUCCUCGCCAGAAACUCACCAGAAGCUCUGAUCAGAUCAAGAGAAUACCACAGUCACGAGAGCAGGGGUACCCUGGGAGAGGCUCUGCCAAUGGCACUUUCAUAUUCCUUAAUAGUGCAAUACUCAUUAGCACAGACUGGGGAAGCUGGGUGAAUCAUGUCCAUGAGUGUCUCUACUAGGGUCUGGAAAGACCAUCUGCACAGAUCAAGACACAUCAGUGGGAAGCAAUUUGGUAAGUGCACACCAAAUUCAACAAUCAUUUUGGGACAAUGGAAAAAAAGGCAUUUUUCAGUGAGAAGGAUACCGGCUAAAAAAACAUUCUCUUGACUGUAGUGACAGUACAGCCAGACAGACCUCAUCACUCUGCCACUUUAUAUCCAGCAGCUGUGGGACAGGAGACUCUUGUACUUGCAGACAACGGAAGAACUUACCUGGCAAUAAGAAAUCUUGCUAGGAAAAAAGGGUUGUGUGGGAGUAAUGAAAUCCUCUGGGAAUGGCGGAUGAAACCUGAACACUGGUGGGGCUGCCUUGAGUUCUGACACAAUUGCCACACUGCAUAAGAAAAACCUGCAGAGAACAGACUCGCUCUGAGGGCUGAGAUGUGACCAGUGUCCCAGUUAUUAUUAGGUACUAAAGGUCUGAAAAGGUUCAAACUCCAUCUUUGUAGGAAUUCAAAGAAGGGGAUGUUUGAGGCCUUGCUGACAGCUUCCAGACUGAAAAAGAAAGCAGAGGAAAAAGGGGCAUUUCUCUGGCCUUCCUUGGUGAUUGCUCAGAACUACGUCUACUGAUGGCUGUGUCCAACAAUGAGAAGAAGAGCCAAGAGAAGUCAAAAUCUGCGGGAUGUGAUGGUCUGCUAGUUCAGAAAAGCCACCUGGAGAAACAAAAACAAAUGUCAGACAGCUGUGAGUGGGAGAAAUGCUAUUGUUUUCCUGGUAGUCCGUCCUCCUAGUCUUCUGAGAGAAGCGGGUGAGCGUGUGUUUGUGUGUGUGAGUAUGCUGGGAAUAAGUAAUCAAGGAAACAUUCAAGGAACGGGCAGCGUUCAGAGCCUCGUGGUUGAGCAAGUGCGUGGCAAACAGUGUCAGCUGCUGGUUACUGCUCCACCCUGC